RNAcentral lists this ribosomal RNA (147 nucleotides) under Myroides marinus. RNAcentral describes it as "partial 16S ribosomal RNA". It matches the Rfam family "Bacterial small subunit ribosomal RNA", at positions 1388 to 1533 of the family's 1533-position model. Lineage: Bacteria; Pseudomonadati; Bacteroidota; Flavobacteriia; Flavobacteriales; Flavobacteriaceae. The record is from RNAcentral.
CACCGCCCGUCACACCAUGGGAGUUUGUUGCACCAGAAGUAGGUAGUCUAACCGCAAGGAGGACGCUUACCACGGUGUGGCAGAUGACUGGGGUGAAGUCGUAACAAGGUAGCCGUAGGGGAACCUGCGGCUGGAUCACCUCCUUAA